GAGCAGACGGUGCCGCGCCCCAAAGCGCGGUUAAAAGGGAAACAGGUGAGAGACCUGUGCGAGCUCGUCACUGUAAGCCGGGAGCGCAUGUCCAUUGCCGGAAGGCAGGUCACUGACCCGAAAGGGUUGGGAAGGCGGUCAUGCGUUAGGAUCGGCAAGCCAGGAAACCUGCCGUCUGUU
Molecule: non-coding RNA, 180 nt
Filed under: human gut metagenome
Source: RNAcentral